GACGAACGCUGGCGGCGUGCUUAACACAUGCAAGUCGAACGGAAAGGCCCUGCUUUUGUGGGGUGCUCGAGUGGCGAACGGGUGAGUAACACGUGAGUAACCUGCCCUUGACUUUGGGAUAACUUCAGGAAACUGGGGCUAAUACCGGAUCGGAGCUCCUGCUGCAUGGUGGGGGUUGGAAAGUUUCGGCGGUUGGGGAUGGACUCGCGGCUUAUCAGCUUGUUGGUGGGGUAGUGGCUUACCAAGGCUUUGACGGGUAGCCGGCCUGAGAGGGUGACCGGCCACAUUGGGACUGAGAUACGGCCCAGACUCCUACGGGAGGCAGAAGUGGGGAAUAUUGCACAAUGGGCGGAAGCCUGAGGCAGCAACGCCGCGUGCGGGAUGACGGCCUUCGGGUUGUAAACCGCUUUCGCCUGUGACGAAGCGUGAGUGACGGUAAUGGGUAAAGAAGCACCGGCUAACUACGUG
This 468-nucleotide ribosomal RNA is filed under the name uncultured bacterium. RNAcentral describes it as "partial 16S ribosomal RNA". It matches the Rfam family "Bacterial small subunit ribosomal RNA", at positions 28 to 507 of the family's 1533-position model. The record is from RNAcentral.